This 490-nucleotide ribosomal RNA is filed under the name uncultured bacterium. Its description in RNAcentral is "partial 16S ribosomal RNA". It matches the Rfam family "Bacterial small subunit ribosomal RNA", at positions 28 to 507 of the family's 1533-position model. The record is from RNAcentral.
GAUGAACGCUAGCGAUAGGCUUAACACAUGCCAGUCGAGGGGCAGCAUGGUCUUAGCUUGCUAAGACUGAUGGCGACCGGCGCACGGGUGCGUAACGCGUAUGCAACUUGCCUCACAGAGGGGGAUAACCCGUCGAAAGACGGACUAAUACCGCGUACACUCUAUUUUGGGCAUCCAAGGUAGAGGAAAUGAAAUUCGCUGUGAGAUAGGCAUGCGUCCCAUUAGCUAGUUGGUGAGGUAACGGCUCACCAAGGCGACGAUGGGUAGGGGAACUGAGAGGUUGAACCCCCACACUGGUACUGAGACACGGACCAGACUCCUACGGGAGGCAGCAGUGAGGAAUAUUGGUCAAUGGGCGAGAGCCUGAACCAGCCAAGUCGCGUGAAGGAUGACUGUCUUAUGGAUUGUAAACUUCUUUUGUAGGGGAAUAAAGAGGGGCACGUGUGCCCCAGUGAAUGUACCCUACGAAUAAGCAUCGGCUAACUCCGUG